Haliotis rubra (blacklip abalone) is the source of this 1455-nucleotide long non-coding RNA. RefSeq lists it as uncharacterized. The record is from RefSeq and is a predicted model, not a curated record. Lineage: Eukaryota; Metazoa; Mollusca; Gastropoda; Lepetellida; Haliotidae. The transcript has 2 exons.
AAUAGCUUCAGCCUCGCUCGCAACGGAAGUUCCUGGUCGUCGCUGUUUUAUAGAUACCCUGACGGCGAGAGGUAGUACAUAGGGGUGACACUCGAACAGAAUAGAAGUAAAUGUAGCAGAGUAACACCAUAACAUCCACAGGUUAAUGAUGGAAGAUGACAGCAAUCCACAGAAUCCUUUCUCUGUCACUGAAACAAAUGAAAUCUGUUAAAGGGAUUUGCUGGAAACCUCAAGAAACAUUUUUAUUGACACCCUGGAAAUAGGUGAUCUCAUGAACCCACCAUUGGUACCAUUGGUUAUCUUCAGAAACAAAUGAAGAUUCACAGUUGAAUCAUGCCUUAUGAAUGUGUUGAAUGUGGGAAAACAUUUACAGCGAUCAUAUACUCUUAAGGUACAUAUGAGGAUUCACAGUGGAAUCAAGCCUUAUGAAUGUGUUGAAUGUGGGAAAACAUUUACACAUUCAUAUACUCUUAAGGCCCAUAUGAGGUUUCACAGUGGAAUCAAGCCUUAUGAAUGUGGUGAAUGUGGGAAACAAUUUACAGCAUCAGGGUAUCUUCAGAAACACAUGAAGAUUCAUAGUGGAAUCAAGCCUUAUAAAUGUGUUGAAUGUGGGAAAGAGUUUACACAUUCUAAUUGUCUGCAGGCACACAUGAGAAGUCACAGUGGAAUCAAGCCCUAUGAAUGUGUUGAAUGUGGGAAACAAUUUACACAAUCCAGUAGCCUGCAGGCACACAUGAGAAUUCACAGUGGAGUCAAGCCCUAUGAAUGUGUAGAAUGUGGGAAAAGAUUUACAUAUUCAGGUCAUAUGCAGGCACACAUGAAGAUUCACAGCGGAAUCAAGCCUUAUGAAUGUGUUCAAUGUGGGAAAAGUUUUACACAUUCAAGUACUCUUCUGAAACACAUGAAGAUGCACAGUGGAAUCAAACCUCAUCAGUGCAUUGUGUGUGAGAAAACAUUUGCACAAUCAGUUCAUAUGCAGGAACACAUGAGGAUUCACACAGGAAUCAUGCCUUAUGAAUGUGGUGAAUGUGGGAAAAAAUUUACACUUUCAAGUAAUCUGCAAAGACAUAUGAGGAUUCACAGUUGAAUCAAGCUUUAGGAAUCUGUUGAAUGUGGCAAAAGAAUUUAUGCAUUCCAGUAGUCUGCAGGCACACAUUAGAGUGCAUGGUGGAAUCCAGCCUUGCUAAUGUGUUGAAUGUGGAAAAAACAUUAACACAAUCAAAUAUUCUGGUGACACACAUGAGAAUUACAGAAUCAGGUAAUCUGCAGACACAUGAGGAUUCACAGUGGAAUCAAACGCUAUGAAUGUGUUGAAUGUGGGACAAAAUUUACUAGUGAGGUCAUCAUCAGAAACACAGGAGGAUUCACUAUGUAAUCAAGCAGUGAAGACUUUUCACUGUGUUAAGUUUGGGAUAAGAUGUACACAGUGAUACCCCUACGAUUUUAUAUUCCUUC